Non-coding RNA from Pelobates cultripes (western spadefoot toad), 248 nucleotides. The record is from the annotation of a GenBank genome assembly. Lineage: Eukaryota; Metazoa; Chordata; Amphibia; Anura; Pelobatidae.
AUGAAAUCGAGCAACCCAUCGGGAGACACAAGUCCAUGAAAUACGAACUGUUCAAGGAAUAACCCAAAAGGUGAUGGCAGUCCAUCAUUCACCGAUACCCCUUUAGGAUGAGAGAGGUAGUGAAUCAGGCGAAACUUCAGGGACAUAAAUGGGCCACCAUCCUACCCAAUUCAAAGACCGAUUUCACGUUACGCACACUUCCUGAACCCCCCCUUUCUUGCAACAGGCUAUAGACACCCUCCACAAAC